RNAcentral lists this ribosomal RNA (254 nucleotides) under uncultured bacterium. Its description in RNAcentral is "partial 16S ribosomal RNA". It matches the Rfam family "Bacterial small subunit ribosomal RNA", at positions 524 to 776 of the family's 1533-position model. The record is from RNAcentral.
UACGUAGGGUGCGAGCGUUGUCCGGAAGUAUUGGGCGUAAAGAGCUCGUAGGCGGUCUGUCGCGUCUGUCGUGAAAACUUGGGGCUUAACCCUGAGCUUGCGGUCGAUACGGGCAUGACUGGAGUUCGGCAGGGGAGACUGGAAUUCCUGGUGUAGCGGUGAAAUGCGCAGAUAUCAGGAGGAACACCGGUGGCGAAGGCGGGUCUCUGGGUCGAUACUGACGCUGAGGAGCGAAAGCGUGGGGAUCAAACAGG